RNAcentral lists this ribosomal RNA (816 nucleotides) under Borreliella afzelii. RNAcentral's name for it is "bacterial SSU rRNA". It matches the Rfam family "Bacterial small subunit ribosomal RNA", at positions 44 to 859 of the family's 1533-position model. Lineage: Bacteria; Pseudomonadati; Spirochaetota; Spirochaetia; Spirochaetales; Borreliaceae. The record is from RNAcentral.
GCGUCUUAAGCAUGCAAGUCAAACGGAAUGUAGCAAUACAUUUAGUGGCGAACGGGUGAGUAACGCGUGGAUGAUCUACCUAUGAGAUGGGGAUAACUACUAGAAAUAGUAGCUAAUACCGAAUAAGGUCAAUUAAUUUGUUAAUUGAUGAAAGGAAGCCUUUAAAGCUUCGCUUGUAGAUGAGUCUGCGUCUUAUUAGUUAGUUGGUGGGGUAAAUGCCUACCAAGACGAUGAUAAGUAACCGGCCUGAGAGGGUGAACGGUCACACUGGAACUGAGAUACGGUCCAGACUCCUACGGGAGGCAGCAGCUAAGAAUCUUCCGCAAUGGGCGAAAGCCUGACGGAGCGACACUGCGUGAAUGAAGAAGGUCGAAAGAUUGUAAAAUUCUUUUAUAAAUGAGGAAUAAGCUUUGUAGGAAAUGACAAAGCGAUGACGUUAAUUUAUGAAUAAGCCCCGGCUAAUUACGUGCCAGCAGCCGCGGUAAUACGUAAGGGGCGAGCGUUGUUCGGGAUUAUUGGGCGUAAAGGGUGAGUAGGCGGAUAUAUAAGUCUAUGCAUAAAAUACCACAGCUCAACUGUGGAGCUAUGUUGGAAACUAUAUGUCUAGAGUCUGAUAGAGGAAGUUAGAAUUCCUGGUGUAAGGGUGGAAUCUGUUGAUAUCAGGAAGAAUACCGGAGGCGAAGGCGAACUUCUGGGUCAAGACUGACGCUGAGUCACGAAAGCGUAGGUAGCAAACAGGAUUAGAUACCCUGGUAGUCUACGCUGUAAACGAUGCACACUUGGUGUUAACUAAAAGUUAGUACCGAAGCUAACGUG